AAUAGAUACCCGGGUAGUCCAUGCCGUAAACGUUGGGCACUAGGUGUGGGGCUCAUUCCACGAGUUCCGUGCCGCAGCAAACGCAUUAAGUGCCCCGCCUGGGGAGUACGGCCGCAAGGCUAAAACUCAAAGGAAUUGACGGGGGCCCGCACAGGCGGCGGAGCAUGCGGAUUAAUUCGAUGCAACGCGAAGAACCUUACCAAGGCUUGACAUACACCGGAAUCAUGCAGAGAUGUGUGCGUCUUCGGACUGGUGUACAGGUGGUGCAUGGUUGUCGUCAGCUCGUGUCGUGAGAUGUUGGGUUAAGUCCCGCAACGAGCGCAACCCUCGUCCUAUGUUGCCAGCACUUCGGGUGGGGACUCAUAGGAUACUGCCGGGGUCAACUCGGAGGAAGGUGGGGAUGACGUCAAAUCAUCAUGCCCCUUAUGUCUUGGGCUUCACGCAUGCUACAAUGGCCGGUACAAAGGGCUGCGAUACCGCGAGGUGGAGCGAAUCCCAAAAAGCCGGUCUCAGUUCGGAUUGGGGUC
This 527-nucleotide ribosomal RNA is filed under the name uncultured bacterium. RNAcentral describes it as "bacterial SSU rRNA". It matches the Rfam family "Bacterial small subunit ribosomal RNA", at positions 777 to 1305 of the family's 1533-position model. The record is from RNAcentral.